UCCUCGUGGUUCUCGAUCUCAAUAUUAGGUGGCAGAUAUUACACUCUUCCAGGAAAAGAUGACUCUCGAUAAGGCUCCAACAGAGAAAUAUGAAAGACUAGAUGUACCUUCAUAGAAGCCGAUAAUUCCAAACGGUACGCCACUGGAUUGAUUUGCUUUUGGAUGAUAAAUAGUCCCAAUCUUUGAUAGUCCAACUUAUCACAUG
Molecule: long non-coding RNA, 205 nt
Filed under: Physcomitrium patens
Lineage: Eukaryota; Viridiplantae; Streptophyta; Bryopsida; Funariales; Funariaceae
Description: long non-coding RNA (PPAT_LNC005519)
Source: RNAcentral